Molecule: transfer RNA, 105 nt
Filed under: Colletotrichum godetiae
Lineage: Eukaryota; Fungi; Ascomycota; Sordariomycetes; Glomerellales; Glomerellaceae
Also listed under: 1 other name
Description: tRNA-Pro
Rfam family: tRNA
About the family: Transfer RNA (tRNA) molecules are approximately 80 nucleotides in length.
Source: RNAcentral
GCCCUGGUGGUCUAGCGGUAUGAUUCUUCCUUAGGGCUAUUGACUCAUUGAGCAAUCAAGACACUAUCAUGGAAGAGGCCCCAGGUUCGAAUCCUGGCCAGGGCC